This 234-nucleotide ribosomal RNA is filed under the name uncultured bacterium. Its description in RNAcentral is "partial 16S ribosomal RNA". It matches the Rfam family "Bacterial small subunit ribosomal RNA", at positions 524 to 757 of the family's 1533-position model. The record is from RNAcentral.
UACAGAGGGGGCAAGCGUUGUUCGGAAUUACUGGGCGUAAAGGGCCAGUAGGCGGCCAACUAAGUCACACGUGAAAUCCCCAGGCUUAACCUGGGAACUGCGUGUGAUACUGGAUGGCUUGAAUUCGGGAGAGGGAUGCAGAAUUCCAGGUGUAGCGGUGAAAUGCGUAGAUAUCUGGAGGAAUACCGGUGGCGAAGGCGGCAUCCUGGACCGACAUUGACGCUGAACGGCGAA